UUAAGCGACUAAGCGUACACGGUGGAUGCCCUGGCAGUCAGAGGCGAUGAAGGACGUGCUAAUCUGCGAUAAGCGUCGGUAAGGUGAUAUGAACCGUUAUAACCGGCGAUUUCCGAAUGGGGAAACCCAGUGUGAUUCGUCACACUAUCAUUAACUGAAUCCAUAGGUUAAUGAGGCGAACCGGGGGAACUGAAACAUCUAAGUACCCCGAGGAAAAGAAAUCAACCGAGAUUCCCCCAGUAGCGGCGAGCGAACGGGGAGGAGCCCAGAGCCUGAAUCAGUGUGUGUGUUAGUGGAAGCGUCUGGAAAGGCGCGCGAUACAGGGUGACAGCCCCGUACACAAAAAUGCACAUGCUGUGAGCUCGAUGAGUAGGGCGGGACACGUGGUAUCCUGUCUGAAUAUGGGGGGACCAUCCUCCAAGGCUAAAUACUCCUGACUGACCGGUAGUGAACCAGUACCGUGAGGGAAAGGCGAAAAGACCCCGGCGAGGGGAGUGAAAAAGAACCUGAAAACCGUGUACGUACAAGCAGUGGGAGCACAGAGCAAUCUGUGUGACUGCGUACCUUUUGUAUAAUGGGUCAGCGACUUAUAUUCUGUAGCAAGGUUAACCGAAUAGGGGAGCCGAAGGGAAACCGAGUCUUAACCGGGCGUUAAGUUGCAGGGUAUAGACCCGAAACCCGGUGAUCUAGCCAUGGGCAGGUUGAAGGUUGGGUAACACUAACUGGAGGACCGAACCGACUAAUGUUGAAAAAUUAGCGGAUGACUUGUGGCUGGGGGUGAAAGGCCAAUCAAACCGGGAGAUAGCUGGUUCUCCCCGAAAGCUAUUUAGGUAGCGCCUCGUGAAUUCAUCUCCGGGGGUAGAGCACUGUUUCGGCAAGGGGGUCAUCCCGACUUACCAACCCGAUGCAAACUGCGAAUACCGGAGAAUGUUAUCACGGGAGACACACGGCGGGUGCUAACGUCUGUCGUGAAGAGGGAAACAACCCAGACCGCCAGCUAAGGUCCCAAAGUCAUGGUUAAGUGGGAAACGAUGUGGAAGGCCCAGACAGCCAGGAUGUUGGCUUAGAAGCAGCCAUCAUUUAAAGAAAGCGUAAUAGCUCACUGGUCGAGUCGGCCUGCGCGGAAGAUGUAACGGGGCUAAACCAUGCACCGAAGCUGCGGCAGCGACACUGUGUGUUGUUGGGUAGGGGAGCGUUCUGUAAGCCUGUGAAGGUGUGCUGUGAGGCAUGCUGGAGGUAUCAGAAGUGCGAAUGCUGACAUAAGUAACGAUAAAGCGGGUGAAAAGCCCGCUCGCCGGAAGACCAAGGGUUCCUGUCCAACGUUAAUCGGGGCAGGGUGAGUCGACCCCUAAGGCGAGGCCGAAAGGCGUAGUCGAUGGGAAACAGGUUAAUAUUCCUGUACUUGGUGUUACUGCGAAGGGGGGACGGAGAAGGCUAUGUUGGCCGGGCGACGGUUGUCCCGGUUUAAGCGUGUAGGCUGGUUUUCCAGGCAAAUCCGGAAAAUCAAGGCUGAGGCGUGAUGACGAGGCACUACGGUGCUGAAGCAACAAAUGCCCUGCUUCCAGGAAAAGCCUCUAAGCAUCAGGUAACAUCAAAUCGUACCCCAAACCGACACAGGUGGUCAGGUAGAGAAUACCAAGGCGCUUGAGAGAACUCGGGUGAAGGAACUAGGCAAAAUGGUGCCGUAACUUCGGGAGAAGGCACGCUGAUAUGUAGGUGAAGUCCCUCGCGGAUGGAGCUGAAAUCAGUCGAAGAUACCAGCUGGCUGCAACUGUUUAUUAAAAACACAGCACUGUGCAAACACGAAAGUGGACGUAUACGGUGUGACGCCUGCCCGGUGCCGGAAGGUUAAUUGAUGGGGUCAGCGCAAGCGAAGCUCUUGAUCGAAGCCCCGGUAAACGGCGGCCGUAACUAUAACGGUCCUAAGGUAGCGAAAUUCCUUGUCGGGUAAGUUCCGACCUGCACGAAUGGCGUAAUGAUGGCCAGGCUGUCUCCACCCGAGACUCAGUGAAAUUGAACUCGCUGUGAAGAUGCAGUGUACCCGCGGCAAGACGGAAAGACCCCGUGAACCUUUACUAUAGCUUGACACUGAACAUUGAGCCUUGAUGUGUAGGAUAGGUGGGAGGCUUUGAAGUGUGGACGCCAGUCUGCAUGGAGCCGACCUUGAAAUACCACCCUUUAAUGUUUGAUGUUCUAACGUGGACCCGUGAUCCGGGUUGCGGACAGUGUCUGGUGGGUAGUUUGACUGGGGCGGUCUCCUCCUAAAGAGUAACGGAGGAGCACGAAGGUUGGCUAAUCCUGGUCGGACAUCAGGAGGUUAGUGCAAUGGCAUAAGCCAGCUUGACUGCGAGCGUGACGGCGCGAGCAGGUGCGAAAGCAGGUCAUAGUGAUCCGGUGGUUCUGAAUGGAAGGGCCAUCGCUCAACGGAUAAAAGGUACUCCGGGGAUAACAGGCUGAUACCGCCCAAGAGUUCAUAUCGACGGCGGUGUUUGGCACCUCGAUGUCGGCUCAUCACAUCCUGGGGCUGAAGUAGGUCCCAAGGGUAUGGCUGUUCGCCAUUUAAAGUGGUACGCGAGCUGGGUUUAGAACGUCGUGAGACAGUUCGGUCCCUAUCUGCCGUGGGCGCUGGAGAACUGAGGGGGGCUGCUCCUAGUACGAGAGGACCGGAGUGGACGCAUCACUGGUGUUCGGGUUGUCAUGCCAAUGGCACUGCCCGGUAGCUAAAUGCGGAAGAGAUAAGUGCUGAAAGCAUCUAAGCACGAAACUUGCCCCGAGAUGAGUUCUCCCUGACCCUUUAAGGGUCCUGAAGGAACGUUGAAGACGACGACGUUGAUAGGCCGGGUGUGUAAGCGCAGCGAUGCGUUGAGCUAACCGGUACUAAUGAACCGUGAGGCUUAACCUU
Molecule: ribosomal RNA, 2902 nt
Filed under: Escherichia coli B7-2
Lineage: Bacteria; Pseudomonadati; Pseudomonadota; Gammaproteobacteria; Enterobacterales; Enterobacteriaceae
Description: bacterial LSU rRNA
Rfam family: Bacterial large subunit ribosomal RNA
Source: RNAcentral